GCUGGGCACAGUGGCACAUGCCUGUAAUCCCAGCAACUUGGGAGGCUGAGGCAGGAGGAUUGCAAGUUCAAAGCCAGUUUCAGCAAUUUAGGCCCUAAGUAACUUAGCAAGACCCUGACUCAA
Molecule: small RNA, 123 nt
Filed under: Marmota monax (woodchuck)
Lineage: Eukaryota; Metazoa; Chordata; Mammalia; Rodentia; Sciuridae
Source: RNAcentral